Molecule: long non-coding RNA, 2093 nt
Organism: Tupaia belangeri chinensis (Chinese tree shrew)
Lineage: Eukaryota; Metazoa; Chordata; Mammalia; Scandentia; Tupaiidae
Exons: 4
Source: RefSeq, a predicted model, not a curated record
GCGGAAGCUACUGCCUGCGCUUAGAUAAACAAGCAACGCCGCCUCCCAGCAACACCUGGUUCCGCACGCGCCUUAGAACUGGAGGGCCUUCUUACUGAACAUGCGCAGCUCCUGCCUGUGACAAGAGCGGGUCCAGCUGGUACUCCCACGCCCAGAUCCAGGCGGAGAGGAAAGGGUGGAGGGGCCAGAGCAACUCCAGGCUGUACCUGAGGCGGGAAGUGAGAGGAGACGCGCAAGACCCAAGAGGAGCCUUUGGCGUGAGGGCCUUUGCCCGACACCACCCAGUCUGUCAGCUUCCUCGAGAGCUUGGGUUUUAACUCGUGUAAACAUAACGAGAAGACUUAAAGGGUCGAGCACUCCAGAUUCUGCCUGAGGGUGUGUACACACAUGAAGUGAAACUGUAUGUAUAACAUCAGGACAGUGAGAGAGGGAUGACAGGCCCCUUCAGCCGAGAGCCCGAGGGGUUAGUCAGCGACGACACCUCAGAAGCCGUGCCCCUCCGGAUGACGUCAACAGGAAUACCGCCCACUUCCCCCUAGCCCCGCCCCUUUUUGGAGGCUGCCUGAAGUCGAGCUCUUCCCACGCCCGGUCAGCUACUGGCGCAUGGAAAACCUGGACAGCGGAACCGCCAACAGCAUAGCAACAGCCAGCUGGGAGUAUGUAUUAGGAAGUUGGGACUCACUGUAGCCAACCCGAUCACGCCUUUGGACCCCAUGGUGUUACUCUCGGCCAAUGGAGAGCCGCCUCAUGCCACGUGAUGCAUGCAUCUCUUUCAACCAAUGAGGAGAAAGUCUAGCUGCGGGCUCAGCCAACCCACCUCCCCGUGCCUCGCCUUGCUGGCGUUGGCUCCGCGUAGUCGCUGCCAACCAAUCGAAGGCGAGCUGAUGAAUGACGAAGGCUUAGGAUGAACCAAUCAGCGCUCGCGAUUCCCUUGCCUCCGAAGGUGGCUGACUUCUCCAACUCCAGACUGAAAUUGAUGAGUCAAAGAAAACUCAGGAAAUUGCAACUAUGUCAUUCCUUGACUUUCCAGAUCCCUAUAGGGAAGCCUCAUCAGUCCCUGUCAGAGCGCAGCCCUACUCAACCUGCUCAGCACUGUCACCGAGCCUCAGAGAACUAGCCAACCAAACCUUUAUGGGAAAACAGAAAUGGGAAAAGCCUCCAUGCAUAUGUACCCAUCCAAGCUCAGUGCUUAGGCUCCUGCUCUCAGCAUCACCACCGACUUUCGGAGAUGGUCCUUAUAUGGUAAUUGCUUAGACUAAUUAUUUUCAUCUUGGUUUAUUGCCUUCCCCCUCACUGUGCCAGAACUAUGAGAACAGGGACUGUUGCUUUCAUUGUUGUCUCAGAACCUUGCACGUACAUGGACAUGACACAUGAUGGGUUCAUGCUGUUCUUUUGUUGACAAAAUAUGAAGAUACGCUGUCAUUGAAUAAAUAAUGAGCUUUUUUUUAAGGACUGGCAUCUCAGGAUAGACCCUGCUUCUAACAUUUGCACUCAGUUAUCUGCCUUAUGAAAACAGAGCUCUGAAAGGGAACCAUGGCAACUAUAAAUAGUUUUUCAUGUACAAAUUAGCAUUCUAUACUGUAAGAUUUAAUAAAACAAAAACCUAGGUACAAUUAGAUAUCUUAAUCCCCUCUUCUCUGGGGAAAUGCCCAUUCAGCUCUCUUGUUCAUUUUAUAAAAAUGUGGUAAAAUAGACAUAGCAUUUUAAAAUGAUUAGAAUUUAAAUUUAGAAUGAUUAAAAUGUUAAAUUUUAAGUGUACACUGUGAUGGCAUUAAUGACAUUUAUAUUGUUGUGGAGUUAUACCACUCUCUCCCCAGAAUUUGUCAUUCCAAACUGAAACUCUGGACCCAUUAAGUAAUAGCUCCCAAUUCUCCUUUCUGCCCAUCCUUAAUCUCUUCUUUCCUUCAUUCUUCUUUCCUUUCCUUCUUCCUAGCUUUUCUUUUAUCGUUCUCAUGUUUGGCUUCAAGGUAAGAUCCCUGGGGCAUUGUGUCUGUGUGCCCAAACCAUCGUUAAAACCCUCAGCUCACUUCCUAAUUCAGCUCUAUGGGUUUACUUGCAGCCAUGAAGCCUCUGUUCUCUUCACAGUUGCUUCC